RNAcentral lists this unclassified non-coding RNA (208 nucleotides) under Glomeromycotina sp. RNAcentral describes it as "partial contains small subunit ribosomal RNA, internal transcribed spacer 1, and 5.8S ribosomal RNA". The stretch from base 1 to 47 matches the Rfam family "Eukaryotic small subunit ribosomal RNA", at positions 1785 to 1831 of the family's 1831-position model. Lineage: Eukaryota; Fungi; Glomeromycota. The record is from RNAcentral.
AAAGUCGUAACAAGGUUUCCGUAGGUGAACCUGCGGAAGGAUCAUUAUAAAAUUUUACAUUUUAAUGUAAAAAAAUAAAUGUAUUCAAAACCCAUACUCUUUAAAAUCAUUUAUAUAUGUUGUUGUGUUUAAUUUUUACACACACACAUAUAUUAAAAAAAUAAAAUAUAAAAAAAGACAACUUUCAACAACGGAUCUCUUGGCUCUC